UCCCUUGUGGCUCAGAUGGUAGAGCGUCUGCCUGCAAUGCAGGAGACCCGGGUUCAAUUCCUGGGUCAGGAA
Molecule: transfer RNA, 72 nt
Filed under: Ovis aries (sheep)
Lineage: Eukaryota; Metazoa; Chordata; Mammalia; Artiodactyla; Bovidae
Rfam family: tRNA
About the family: Transfer RNA (tRNA) molecules are approximately 80 nucleotides in length. Their secondary structure includes four short double-helical elements and three loops (D, anti-codon, and T loops).
Source: Rfam by way of RNAcentral